Molecule: long non-coding RNA, 538 nt
Filed under: Olea europaea (common olive)
Lineage: Eukaryota; Viridiplantae; Streptophyta; Magnoliopsida; Lamiales; Oleaceae
Description: long non-coding RNA (OEUR_LNC000722)
Source: RNAcentral
UCCAACAUAGGCUGUGUUUAUAAAAAAAGGCCCAAUAUGAAAUGAGAUGGUUCACUUGAUCGAGCCCAAUAAUUCAGCCCAUUUCUUAAUCGCUCUGGAGCCGUUGGAUUGACCCACUGAUCAACGGUUGAUGGUCUUUCUAUAUAUAUGACCCUUUCUUGCCCUAGAAGAGUGAAUCGUUAUUUUUCUUCUCUCUGUGAGUCGUCUCUCUUUCUAGAACAUUUAAGGGCUUUCUGUCUCUGUGAUUUUUUUAUCUUCUUUCUGUGAGAUUUUCUAGUGAUUAUCUUUGUGAUAAUCGAGUCUUUGUCUGAGUAGUCUCUGUGUGAGUGAACUGGCUGUUGACGUGGUGUGUCCAUUUUUUGUUCCAUUGAAGCGAUUCUGUGUUUGGGUCUGUGAGGGUCUAUGGUUGAGUCUGGUGCCUCUAUUAUGUUCCUUAGAGGUUUAUGGUCUGAACCUAUGAAAGGUUGAAAUCGCGAUGCUGCGGUCUUAGGUUUUUGUAAAGUUCUUGUAUAAUUUCUUAUACAGUUUCAGAUCUUUG